UCGCCGCCGCGGUGUUCGUCGCGCGUUAUGCCGAAGCGCCGGAAGACGAACGCGGCAGCACCGAGCAGGUGUGGUUCCUGCUCGGCGUC
RNAcentral lists this transfer RNA (89 nucleotides) under Betaproteobacteria bacterium. RNAcentral's name for it is "tRNA-Gly". The record is from RNAcentral. Lineage: Bacteria; Pseudomonadati; Pseudomonadota; Betaproteobacteria.